CGCAUGAGUCAUGGGAACUCCAGACCAGUCUGUGGCAGACAUGAGCCCUAUGUGCUUUCACUUGGAUGUGUUCUAGGCGCACAGACACCUAUCCAGGCCAUGACGACGGGUCAGACCUCACCCUCUGGUUUUCUGUCUAGAAUUGUACGAUGCUGCGGCACAGCACGAUGAGGUCGCUGACGGCUGAGUGUGGAGAAUCGCUAGGGAGAGGGGAAGCUGAGACCACAGCUAACUCCUGACGUGCCCGGAGCUCCCGGGCUCUCCAGCUGGUGCCUAUCAGACCAGUGAGAGGACAGGGGGCCUGAGGGUGGCUAUCCACAGCCGCCAGGGGCCACCAGGGAGGUACCUGGAGCUGGUCUUCUUGGCAAUGAGCUGCGGCAUUGCCUGUGCCCCUGAGGACCACUGAGGCAUCUCAGAGUAUCACGCCCAUCAGAGAAUCAAGUGGAAGUUCAGGAAGGGACACAGCACCCCUGGUUCUCACCCUGCCUUGGUGACGGAGACCCCAACCCAGCGAGGCAGGUGGUGCUGAGCUACACAGGUCAUGAGUGGCAGGUCUGGGACCUGAACUCAGGCCUGAGGUUAGUUCACCCACCUCUGGGGCACACAGCUACACCCUCUUUGCCAGCUGGGUUCCGGCCAUGGAUUGAGGUGGAAGUGAUGGGUGCCACUUCCAGGCCCAGCCCAUGAACGACCUCUGUGAGAUCUUCUGCACCUUCUCUUUCCUUUCACCUGCCUGGGUGCAGAGGGCUCCAGUGAUGGACCCCACGGCACUAGGGGGCAGAACCAUGGAGUGGAAAGAUCCUGGCUCCCUGAACGACCAGGUGGAUCGAAGCCCGUCCGCUGCCACUUUGCUCUGGGCCGUGGCAGGAGCAGCAGCAAACCUGCCGGUGUGGAGCUGCUGAGCUACAACACUGAGCUUUCCCCAGCCACCUCGAGAGGUCCCUCCACUACCCCACACUGCCGUCCAUGUCCUGAACUUGGCUGAGUCCUGAGCACAGGCCUAGUGAGGAUCGGUGCCAUGCAGGACGCACAAGAGGAUGUCAAAUUUGAAGUUUCGACUGUGGGAUCAAGAUGCACUAGAUGAGAAACUCUCAAGUGAAGGUCCAGACCACCAAGCAGAAGUCUUGCUCGGUGACUGAGACCCAGUUAGAAGUGCUGUCUGUGAUGGGGCCGGAGUGGAGAGUGGAGGGUUUGUGAAGCGGUGUCUCUGGAGGGGGCUGCUGCUGGUGCCCUCACUUCCAGUCUGCUUGGUGGGGGGCCAGCCAGACCCUCAGCCUGAGGCCUUUCUCUUUUGUUGGUGACUGACAGGGAGCUGGGCCUGCCGGGCUCUGCAGGAAGGCGAGGAGGCCUGUGCAGGGCGGGGAGAAGACAAAGGCUGUGCUGGGGGACAGAUCAUAUUCCAUUCAGAGGAGGGACAGUGGGAAGGGAUGUGUUGGGGAGAGAGGUGGGCCUCGUGGGAGAGGAAUUUGGUGGAUCCCUUUGAAGUCCUGCUAAAGGGGGCCCCUGGGACAGGGAAGGACUCCAGCAGAGAGGACCCUGGGACAGGCUGACCUCCGGGGCUGGGGGAAUCUGGUUGGCCGAGGGGAAAGUGUGUCAUCUCAUCGAAGGAUGCAGAUCAGAAGGGCCCAUGCGCCUGGGGCUGGGCACUGAGACCAGAACUGACCCCACAAACUUCACACGCAGCUCUCCUGUGGGACGCCACGCUAAUACAUGGAUCCAACUGGAUUUCUAUAUACUAGCAAUGAAAAUUAAAAAACCUUGUCAUUCACAAUGGCACCAAAGAAUACAUAUUACUUAGAGACAAGUCUAAGAAAAUAGGUGCAGGACCAAUACACUGAAAACUAAGAAUCAUUGCUGAGAAUGAAAGGAGACUUAAAAAGUAGAGAAAUACCACACUCACGGACAGGAGACUUGACGCUAUUAAGCUCUUUUUCCCAAAUUGAUCUUUAGAUUUAUUGUGAUGUCAAUAGAUCCCACGAGGCCUUUGUGUAGACAUUGAAAAGCUGAUUCUAAAAUUUAUAUAGAAAUUCAGGGGCCGGCCCUGCGGCGAAGUGAUUAAGUUCGUGUGCUCCGCUUUGGUGGCCCAGGGUUUCGCGGUUCGGAUCCUGGGUGCCGACAUGGCACUGCUCAUCAAGCCAUGCUGAGGUGGCGUCCCACAUGCCACAGCUAGAAAGACCCACAACUAAGAUAUAUAACUAUGUACUGGGGGGCUUUGGGGAGAAGAAAGAAAAAAAGAGGAAGGUUGGCAACAGAUGUUAGCUCAGGGUCAAUCUUUAAAAAAAGAAGAGAAAUUCAAAGGGUUUCAAAUAAACAAAAUGUUCUUUAAAAAAAGAACAAAGUUGGAGGUUUAAAACCAUUUGACUUUAAGACUUACUAUAAGCUACAAUAAUAAGAGUGAGGUAUUGGUGUAAGUACAUAUAGAUGCAUAUGUAAUAUGCUAAUAUAUUUAACGUAUAUAAUAUAUAUUAUAUAUAACAGUUAAUAUAAGUAGUUAAUUUAAUGCAAAAUAAAACCUCAGUGGGACACCAGUACACACUCACAAGAAGGUCUAUCGUAAAAUGACUAACUGUGAGCCAGCCCUGAUGCUCUAGUGGUUAAAGUUCGGUGCACUGUGCUUUGGCGGCCCAGGUUCAUUUCCCAGUUGUAGAACCACACCGCCCGCCUGUCAGCAGCCAUGUUGCAGCAGCAGCUCACAUAGAAAAACUAGAAGGACUUCCAACUAGGACACACAACCAUGCACUGGGGCUUUGGGGAGAAAAAAAAAAGACUGACCAUACUGUGAGGUCGUGGAGCACCUGGGACGCUCGCACGCUGACGGCGGGAGUUUGAAGUGGCACACCCACCUGGAGAACCGACAGUUUUCCAUAAAGUGAAAUUUACACUUACCUGACGACCCAGUCAUUCCACUCUCGAGUAUCUACUCAAGAUAAAUAAAAUCACACAUCCACACAAAGAUUUGUACAAGGAUGUUCGCAGCAGCUUUAUUUGUAACAGUCAAAAAGUGGAAACAGCCCCAAGUCCAUCAACAAGAGAGAGGGUAGCGUGGUCUACCCUCAUCACAGAUAAUGCUCAGUUGUGAGAUGACCAACGACUGACACAAGAAGCAGCGUGAGGAUCGCAAAACAUUUUGCUGAGGGAAAGCAGUCAGACACCAAGGAGCGUGUGCUGUGUGCUUCCACACCUGUGAGGUCCUAGAACAGAGAUGGCUGGAGGACCCACCCGUGAGAAGCGCUGAUCUUGCAGCAUCCGGGGGAUUUGAGGGAGGCAAGCAGUCAGGACGGCCUCGCAUCUCCCGCCAGACGCACAGACCUCAUUUUUCUGUAGGAUGGUGGGACUGAAGGGAAGGAGAGGCUGUGGAGUGAGGAAUGGGAUGACGCUGGAUGUGGGAAUCUGGUACCGGGU
This is a long non-coding RNA of Equus caballus (horse), 3402 nucleotides long. The record is from Ensembl. NCBI's taxonomy places the organism in Eukaryota, Metazoa, Chordata, Mammalia, Perissodactyla, Equidae.